RNAcentral lists this ribosomal RNA (301 nucleotides) under uncultured bacterium. RNAcentral's name for it is "partial 16S ribosomal RNA". It matches the Rfam family "Bacterial small subunit ribosomal RNA", at positions 509 to 807 of the family's 1533-position model. The record is from RNAcentral.
CAGCCGCCGCGGUAAUACGGAGGGUGCAAGCGUUAAUCGGAAUUACUGGGCGUAAAGCGUGCGUAGGCGGUUUGUUAAGUCUGCUGUGAAAUCCCCGGGCUCAACCUGGGAAUGGCAGUGGAUACUGGCAAGCUAGAGUGUGUCAGAGGAUGGUGGAAUUCCCGGUGUAGCGGUGAAAUGCGUAGAGAUCGGGAGGAACAUCAGUGGCGAAGGCGGCCAUCUGGGACAACACUGGCGCUGAGGCACGAAAGCGUGGGGAGCAAACAGGAUUAGAUACCCGCGUAGUCCCUGUCUCUUAUAC